GAUGAAGAACGUAGCGAAAUGCGAUAAGUAAUGUGAAUUGCAGAAUUCAGUGAAUCAUCGAAUCUUUGAACGCACAUUGCGCCCGCCAGCAUUCUGGCGGGCAUGCCUGUCUGAGCGUCAUUUCAACCCUCAUGCCCCUAGGGCGUGGUGUUGGGGAUCGGCCAAAGCCCGCGAGGGACGGCCGGCCCCUAAAUCUAGUGGCGGACCCGUCGUGGCCUCCUCUGCGAAGUAGUGAUAUUCCGCAUCGGAGAGCGAUGAGCCCCUGCCGUUAAACCCCCAACUUUCCAAGGUUGACCUCAGAUCAGGUAGGAAUACCCGCUGAACUUAAGCAUAUCAAUAAGCGGAGGA
RNAcentral lists this unclassified non-coding RNA (348 nucleotides) under soil metagenome. Its description in RNAcentral is "partial contains 5.8S ribosomal RNA, internal transcribed spacer 2, and large subunit ribosomal RNA". The stretch from base 1 to 120 matches the Rfam family "5.8S ribosomal RNA", at positions 35 to 154 of the family's 154-position model. The record is from RNAcentral.